GCGCCUGGGACUCGAGACAGUCGCAGGUUCAAUUAGCUAAACAAAGAAAUCAUGGCGGAUUGUUUACAUUUGGCAGCGCCUGGGCUGCACAGAACCGCCGGCCCGAGCCACGCGGCCCCGGAGGAGCUGGCCGAGCUGCCCCAGCGCCCUGGCCGGGACAAAGAGAAAUAGAGAGAGAAGUGAAAGAGAGAGGGAUUGAGAACAAGAGGUACCUGUACCACUGCCUCACUGUACAUGAAAUUUCCUUUCUUCUUGAACAUGGGAUCAGAAGCUUGAACAUGGAUCCUCACACAUGAUAACAGAAAUCUGAAGCUAUUAAGCUGCCCAAAAACACCUGACUGCCAGUCUAGAACGUGACUCUAAGGUAAUAAUUGUGAUUUUUUUUUCCAUUUUUAGAGAUUUUUCAAAAUUUCCAUUGUUCUCAAUCAGUGUAAACUUUUGGACCAUUUAUGGAAUGAUUUUUUUUCUCAGUAUAACACCUAUA
Molecule: long non-coding RNA, 484 nt
Organism: Erinaceus europaeus (western European hedgehog)
Lineage: Eukaryota; Metazoa; Chordata; Mammalia; Eulipotyphla; Erinaceidae
Exons: 3
Source: RefSeq, a predicted model, not a curated record